GCCGGGUGUGGUGGUGCAUGCCUGUAAUCCCAGCUACUCGGGAGGCUGAGGCAGAAGAAUCGCUUGAACCCAGGAGGUGGAGGUUGCAGUGAGCUGAGAUUGCGCCACUGCAGUCCAGUCUGGGCAACAGAGUGAGACUCUGUCUCAA
Molecule: non-coding RNA, 148 nt
Filed under: Chlorocebus sabaeus (green monkey)
Lineage: Eukaryota; Metazoa; Chordata; Mammalia; Primates; Cercopithecidae
Source: Rfam by way of RNAcentral